This 1275-nucleotide long non-coding RNA is filed under the name Homo sapiens (human). RNAcentral's name for it is "HSALNT0309886". The record is from RNAcentral. Lineage: Eukaryota; Metazoa; Chordata; Mammalia; Primates; Hominidae.
AGACGACUGGCCAGGGCGCCUGUGGGAUCUGCAUGCCUGGAGCAGCCCCACCAGAGUGCCGCCUUCUCCACUGCUCAGGCGGAGGUGAGCGGAAGGGAAACUGUCCCAGGUCAGGUUGAAGGGAGGGUGCCCGCCCCUUGCUCCCGCCCCCUCUUCCUCCACAUCCACGUGGGCGAGAGUGACAGAGGCAGUGCUGGGGGAGGAGGGGUGAGGAGGGGGUAGGACUGGGGAGAGGGUGGGGGAGGGAGAGAGAGACAGAGACAGGGAGACAGAGGAGAUGGGGAGGAGGUGGGCCCGUGGCCCCCACGCCCUACCCCGUGGGGGUCUCCCCAGCUCAGGGCCCCUUCCUCCUCUGUGUCUCUGCUCACUGCUGUGGCCUCUUUCCAUAUCCCGCCCGAGCUGCCCCUCCUGAGGCUGCCGGGUGGGGGCAGGCCCUUCUCCUCCCCCAUCCCCCCCAUCUCCCUGGGGGCCGGGCCUCCCUGCCUGGGGAAGGUGGGUGGCCCCCUCUGGGCUCAGGUUCCUGGGCUGCAGUGAGGGGUGGGCUCAACCCCACUCCCAUUCUGUCGGAGCCUCUGGGAGCCUCCCGGCUGCCCACAGCCUCUGCCCCUGCUGGGGGCAGGUGCCUGGCCUCUGCCUUCCCGGCCCAUCCCCCUUCGCUGGGGCACAGGUGACCCUACUGAAUGACAACUGUCCAUGGCUAAUCGGCUCCCCCUCAAAGCUUCCACCUUGUGGAUGGCCUCACACCAUGGCCACAGUUCCAGAUCUUUCCACCGUGUGAUGCCUGCAACAGCCUGACGGGGGGGCUGGGGCGGUGGCAGGGGCUGGCUGUGAGGCUGACCUCCCCUUCCAGCCUUGACCUUCUUCCCCGGGGCCCUGCCCUCCAGCCCACUCGUGCCAGGGUGGGGUGGUUCAGGGGGUCCAGUGCCUGGGCCUGGCUGGCGGCCCGGCGUUUGUGAAAUGGCUUGCUUAUCUCCUUGUAUUCUGUGCUGAGCAUUUUAUUACAGCGAAUGGAAAACAGGAGAAAUGAAACUGCUGAUAUUAGUGAUGAGAUGCGUCAGGCUCAUCAGCUUAAAAUAACCGAAGCGAGGCUAGAAACCGCCUGACAGCUGGCGCGGCUGCCUGGCUCCGAGAGACACUCGGCCCGGCUCUGAAGGGAAAACAUUAAAGCACCGAAACAGUGGAAAAAGAGCAUCAAAGAUGAUGUCUGCGAGGCGCGGCCACGGCGAGGAAGCUCUCGUUUAUGAACAAAGGGCCACUCCCGGGUCUCAGAGAUGU